Molecule: ribosomal RNA, 403 nt
Filed under: Bacteroidota bacterium
Lineage: Bacteria; Pseudomonadati; Bacteroidota
Description: Bacteroidetes bacterium partial 16S ribosomal RNA
Rfam family: Bacterial small subunit ribosomal RNA
Source: RNAcentral
UGGGGAAUAUUGCACAAUGGGGGAAACCCUGAUGCAGCGACGCCGCGCGAACGAAGAAGGUAUUCGUAUCGUAAAGUUCUGUCCUAUGGGAAGAUAAUGACAGUACCAUAGAAGAAAGCUCCGGCUAAAUACGUGCCAGCAGCCGCGGUAAUACGUAUGGAGCGAGCGUUGUCCGGAAUUAUUGGGCGUAAAGGGUACGCAGGCGGUUUAAUAAGUCGAAUGUUAAAGAUCGGGGCUCAACCCCGUAAAGCAUUGGAAACUGAUAAACUUGAGUAGUGGAGAGGAAAGUAGAAUUCCUAGUGUAGUGGUGAAAUACGUAGAUAUUAGGAGGAAUACCAGGAGCGAAGGCGACUUUCUGGACACAAACUGACGCUGAGGUACGAAAGCGUGGGGAGCAAACAGG